This 253-nucleotide ribosomal RNA is filed under the name uncultured bacterium. Its description in RNAcentral is "partial 16S ribosomal RNA". It matches the Rfam family "Bacterial small subunit ribosomal RNA", at positions 524 to 776 of the family's 1533-position model. The record is from RNAcentral.
UACAGAGGUCCCAAGCGUUGUUCGGAUUCACUGGGCGUAAAGGGUGCGUAGGAGGCUCGGCAAGUAAGGCGUGAAAUCCAGCCGCUCAACGGCUGAACUGCGUCUUAUACUAUCGGGCUGGAGGACUGGAGAGGAGACUGGAAUUCUCGGUGUAGCGGUGAAAUGCGUAGAUAUCGAGAGGAACGCUAAUGGCGAAGGCAGGUCUCUGGAAAGAUCCUGACUCUGAUGCAAGAAGGCCAGGGGAGCAAACGGG